GACGAACGCUGGCGGCGUGCUUAACACAUGCAAGUCGAACGGAAGGACCCUACUUUUGUGGUGUUCUCGAGUGGCGAACGGGUGAGUAUCACGUGUGUAUCCUGCCCUUGUCUUUCGGAUAACUUCACGAAACUGGGGCUACUAUCGUAUAGGAUCUCCUGCACCAUGGUGGGCGUUGGAAAUUUUCGGCGUUUGGGUAUGGACUCGCGGGGUAUCAGCUUGUUGGUGGGGUAGUUGCCUACCAAGGCUUUCACGGGUAGACGGCCUGUGUGGAGGAUCGGCCGCAUGGGAACGGAGACACGGACAAGAGUACUAAGGGAGGGAGCAGUGGGGAAUGUGAGGCAAUAGGCGGAAGUAUUACACAGUGAGCCCGAGUGUGUGAAGAAGGCCUUCGGGUCGGAAAGACCGUCUGUUGGGUAAGAAAAGCUGUAGGUUGAGACGAAGCGGGAGUGACGGUAACGAAUGAAGAAGCACCGGCUAACUACGUG
This 488-nucleotide ribosomal RNA is filed under the name uncultured bacterium. RNAcentral describes it as "partial 16S ribosomal RNA". It matches the Rfam family "Bacterial small subunit ribosomal RNA", at positions 28 to 507 of the family's 1533-position model. The record is from RNAcentral.